UGCGCAGGCGGUUAUGUAAGACAGGUGUGAAAUCCCCGGGCUUAACCUGGGAACUGCAUUUGUGACUGCAUAGCUAGAGUACGGUAGAGGGGGAUGGAAUUCCGCGUGUAGCAGUGAAAUGCGUAGAUAUGCGGAGGAACACCGAUGGCGAAGGCAAUCCCCUGGACCUGUACUGACGCUCAUGCACGAAAGGCUGGGAGCAAACA
This 206-nucleotide ribosomal RNA is filed under the name uncultured bacterium. Its description in RNAcentral is "partial 16S ribosomal RNA". It matches the Rfam family "Bacterial small subunit ribosomal RNA", at positions 568 to 774 of the family's 1533-position model. The record is from RNAcentral.